GGGGUCAUAGUGUAACCAGGUAUCACGGGAGCCUCCAGAGCUCUAAAUCAGGGUUCAAAUCCCUGUGACCCCA
RNAcentral lists this transfer RNA (73 nucleotides) under Candidatus Iainarchaeum sp. RNAcentral describes it as "tRNA-Trp". It matches the Rfam family "tRNA". Rfam says of the family: Transfer RNA (tRNA) molecules are approximately 80 nucleotides in length. Their secondary structure includes four short double-helical elements and three loops (D, anti-codon, and T loops). Lineage: Archaea; Nanobdellati; Candidatus Iainarchaeota; Candidatus Iainarchaeia; Candidatus Iainarchaeales; Candidatus Iainarchaeaceae. The record is from RNAcentral.